GUAAGGAAUAUUGGUCAAUGGAGGCAACUCUGAACCAGCCAUGCCGCGUGCAGGAAGACGGCCCUCUGGGUUGUAAACUGCUUUUAUCUAGGAAUAAACCUACUUACGUGUAAGUAGCUGAAUGUACUAGAAGAAUAAGGAUCGGCUAACUCCGUGCCAGCAGCCGCGGUAAUACGGAGGAUCCAAGCGUUAUCCGGAUUUAUUGGGUUUAAAGGGUGCGUAGGCGGCCUAUUAAGUCAGGGGUGAAAGACGGUAGCUCAACUAUCGCAGUGCCCUUGAUACUGAUGGGCUUGAAUGAACUAGAGGUAGGCGGAAUGUGACAAGUAGCGGUGAAAUGUUUAGAUAUGUCACAGAACACCGAUUGCGAAGGCAGCUUACUAUGGUUUUAUUGACGCUGAGGCACGAAAGCGUGGGGAUCGAACAGGAUUAGAUACCCUGGUAGUCC
RNAcentral lists this ribosomal RNA (445 nucleotides) under uncultured bacterium. Its description in RNAcentral is "partial 16S ribosomal RNA". It matches the Rfam family "Bacterial small subunit ribosomal RNA", at positions 354 to 796 of the family's 1533-position model. The record is from RNAcentral.